CGCGCCGUUGUCAUGGUAACCCGUAUCCGCCUUUUUGCCUUGGAAGCGCGCUUGUGGCCUGUUCCUCCAGGCAUUACGUAGAAUCGCAACCCUUUCAAGAAGCCUGUUUUUAUAAAACAAGGAAACUGAGGACUGCAGAUGUUAAGUAGUGAAGAGGGAAAAUCGAGGCCUUCAGAUUUGAGUCUUGGACUAGAAAAACACCACUGACUCUCCUGGACCUCCAGCUUGCAGAGGGACCACUCAGCCUCAAAAAUCAAGACCCUUGCAAAUGAAAGUCUUAAGAGCUCUACAAUGAUUUGUGAAGAAAAUUAAAGAUACACAAUUUAUAGGAAGAAAAAUUUCGGAGGUAAUGCUUAAUG
Long non-coding RNA from Cervus elaphus (red deer), 359 nucleotides. RefSeq lists it as uncharacterized. The transcript is spliced from 4 exons. The record is from RefSeq and is a predicted model, not a curated record. NCBI's taxonomy places the organism in Eukaryota, Metazoa, Chordata, Mammalia, Artiodactyla, Cervidae.